This 330-nucleotide unclassified non-coding RNA is filed under the name Hevea brasiliensis (rubber tree). The record is from RNAcentral. Lineage: Eukaryota; Viridiplantae; Streptophyta; Magnoliopsida; Malpighiales; Euphorbiaceae.
UGACAAAUUUCAAUAUCAAUUGGUAGUUAAUUUAUCCUGGUGCUAGCUGACCCCCUCAUUUUUGCCUCAAGGGUAAACCAUAGACAACCAGAUAUUACAGAUACAUUGGAGUGUCAAGUGAUGGUGACCCAAGGUCAAAUUCGCAGGAAAAUUCCUGUUUAUUGGGGGUGACUCUGCGAGCAAGAUCUUGUUUUGUUGUGUAAUUUGAUGAAAUUUUCUGGGCAUUGUAUUUAAGAUUGUGGGUUAAUGUUUGUCACAUUUCAAGUGAAAUUCACCAAAACUUCCAGUGAAAAUGCAAAUGCCCCAUGAUUAUUAUUUUAGAAAAAAAAA